Molecule: transfer RNA, 57 nt
Filed under: Cavia porcellus (domestic guinea pig)
Lineage: Eukaryota; Metazoa; Chordata; Mammalia; Rodentia; Caviidae
Rfam family: tRNA
About the family: Transfer RNA (tRNA) molecules are approximately 80 nucleotides in length. Their secondary structure includes four short double-helical elements and three loops (D, anti-codon, and T loops).
Source: Rfam by way of RNAcentral
UAACUCAGUGGUAGAGUGCUUGCCUAGUAUGCACAAGGCCCUGGGUUCAAUUCCCAG